UUACACAUGCAAGUCGAACGGCAGCACGGACUUCGGUCUGGUGGCGAGUGGAAACGGGUGAGUAAUACAUCGGAACGUGCCUAGUACUGGGGGAUAACUACUCCAAAGAGUGGCUAAUACCGCAUGAGAUCUACGGAUGAAAGCAGGGGAUCGCAAGACCUUGUGCUACUAGAGCGGCUGAUGGCAGAUUAGGUAGUUGGUGGGAUAAAAGCUUACCAAGCCCACGAUCUGUAUCUGGUCUGAGAGGACGAUCANCCACACUGGGACUGAAACACGGCCCAGACUCCUACUGGAGGCAGCAGUGGGGAAUUUUGGACAAUGGGCGCGAGCCUGAUCCAGCAAUGCCCCGUGCAGGAUGAAGGCCUUCGGGUUGUAAACUGCUUUUGUACGGAACGAAAAGCUUUGGGUUAAUACCCUGGAGUCAUGACGGUACCGUAAGAAUAAGCACCGGCUAACUACNUGCC
RNAcentral lists this ribosomal RNA (464 nucleotides) under uncultured bacterium. RNAcentral's name for it is "bacterial SSU rRNA". It matches the Rfam family "Bacterial small subunit ribosomal RNA", at positions 49 to 509 of the family's 1533-position model. The record is from RNAcentral.